GAUACAGUUCCCAAUGCUAUACAGUAGAAUCUCAUUGCUUAUCCAUUCCAAAGGCAACAGUUUGCAUCUAUUAAUCCCAGAUUCCCAGUCCAUCCUACUCCCUCCCCAUCCACCUCCCCCUCGGCAACCACAAGUCUUUUCUCCAAGUCCAUGAUUUUCUUUUCUAAAGAGAAGGAGAGGGUAGGAGUUAGUCAAGAGAGUGAGGCCAGAUACAAGGCCUCUGAAAUACUUCAGGGAAAGAGGGUGGCCGCUGGAAACAGAGUAGGCAGAGUUUUUACUACCCCUUCUUGGAACUGAGAGCAGCCCUGGAAACUUCUGUGAAGUGUAUACCCGGUCAGAAAGGCUCACCACUCUCCCCACUUUGCUGGAUAUCAACAGUUGGUAAGCCUGAGUCCUUGCUAUUAUCACUUAUAUACUUCCUUUGUGACUCAUGGUAUGUAAGCUAGAGUUCUAGUCCAGCUGUGGAGUCUGUCACUUUCCUCAGGGCUAGCCAAUGUCUCCUUUCUGGGCCAGGAGAGCCUUUUUGACAAAAUUACCUUAAAACAAAACCAAGCAGAACAAAACAAAAAAAUCCGACUAGUCUUUUAGAGAAUCUAUUUGCUAAGGGUUAAGACUACAGGUGUGUGUGUGGAGGGGGAGACUGUCUCAUGAAUAUAACCUCCCCACCGAAAUGACCUUCCCUAAACUUCUGCUGCUAUGACUUGAGGAGACCCAUUAGUGUUUAAUAAAACAUCCGCAUCAACACAGUUGAAGGGCAAGGUAGUUAAAGAAAUCUAAUAUCUUAAGAAAUGUGCCGACCCUGACAUUCUUAUGAGAAACUCAGGCAUUUUAGAAGCAAUUACUCUAACUUAAACAAUUUCAAUAAACUUCACAUUGAAAGGAAAUUACUCUUUGGAGGUACAAACGAAGAAAAAAGAAUCUAAUGUUUUUUCAUCUUGCAAAUAAAUAAAAGAACUCUUACUAAUGUUAACAGGGGAAAGGUUUGCAGGACUGAUGUUUGGUAUGUAGAACUGAUAUUUAAAAUAUUUAAGUGAUGCUUAAAAUAUGCUUUCAAUCCACAUAAAUGCAGUAACUUCUGGUUACUUAGAGAAGAGCUUCAGUGAAUAGCAGGAGGCCUCAUUUUAAUGCUGGCCAUUUAAAAAAUUAUUUGGGCUCACAAUAUUCUUUGCCAGAAGGCAAUGAAGUGUGAAACCAAUCCAAUGAAACCAGUUAGAUUGGGACACCACUACUUCCAUAUUUUUACCAAGCAUUCAACAUGCAGACACCAUCUGAAUCUAUGGUUCAAGAUCAUAAAUCCUCCUGUGAGGCUCAUCUGUUAGUACUUGGGGCUCAUUAAUCAUCCCAAAGGGACAACUGCAAAGAAAAACACAAUUGAAUACUGUCGAUCCAUAAAUGCUCACAAGUUCGCAUGGGGCCUAAUUUAAACAAAAAGAAACUCCUUUGUAUUGUCUUCCAAAUCAACCUCCAUGCUCAUGUAGGCCUUAAGAAUGCAAUUUCUAAGUGUUUCCACUUUUGUUCUCUUUUCUCACCUCUGACCAUUUUAUUAAACUACUACCUAUUGAGCGUCUAUUAUACAUCAUUCACCCUGGUAAGUACUUUAUAAACAGGAUCCUAUCUAAUUAAAAUGAUACCAUGAAGUAGGUUAUAUUAGUUUGAUAGGGCUGCAAUUACAAAAUAUUACAGACCAGAUGGCCUAAACCACAGAAAUUGUCUCAUCAUGUUCCUUUUGAACUUGUUCGCAUUGGCAUUGCCCAGCAUUAAUUGCCUUGCAGUUCUGGAGCCUUGACUUCUGAGGUCAAGGUUGGUUCCCACAGAGGGCUGUAAGGGAAGGCUCUCUCUUUGGUUUGUAGAUGGGCAUCUCCUCCCUGUGUCUUCACAACAGCCAUGACUGUGUCUAAAUUUCCUCUUCUUAUAAGGUCAUCAUU
RNAcentral lists this long non-coding RNA (1925 nucleotides) under Sus scrofa (pig). RNAcentral's name for it is "lncRNA (ENSSSCG00055010208.1)". Lineage: Eukaryota; Metazoa; Chordata; Mammalia; Artiodactyla; Suidae. The record is from RNAcentral.